This is a long non-coding RNA of Poecilia reticulata (guppy), 505 nucleotides long. RefSeq lists it as uncharacterized. The record is from RefSeq and is a predicted model, not a curated record. Lineage: Eukaryota; Metazoa; Chordata; Actinopteri; Cyprinodontiformes; Poeciliidae.
CUUUUUGCGUAUUGAGAAACCUUAUGUUUGUACAAGCCUGCAGCUAACUCUUCAUAGGUGGGCCUGCUAGAAAGGAAUGUGUGAGAUGUUAGCCUUCCUCUCAUAUUUUUUUUUUUUUUACAGCAACUAUGUAUCUGUCCAGCUACAUGACAAUGAUACAGAGACACCCAGGCGUGACCUCAGAUUUGCCUCUGCAGGAGUAACCUCUAAUCUCUGUGGCCAACAGGUCGACAUCAUUGAACUGCAAAUCACGAUGAUAAAGCAGAGCAACUAUGUGCACAGAGAGAACGUGCGAUGGAGGGGUUUUGUGUGAGGAGUGACUCACUCUGUGGGAGGGUUGAGGUCCUCUGGUCGGGUUUCAAAGAACUUAAGGACCUCCUCGCUUUCCGAAAUGGAAGAAGGAAGUUUCAUCAAAGCCUACGAACACACCUACACCAGGAAACCACAGACGUGACUAAUGAUUACGCAGACAGGAGGGAUCCUCUGUUGUAGUCUCACCGAGCAG